RNAcentral lists this ribosomal RNA (896 nucleotides) under uncultured Flavobacterium sp. RNAcentral's name for it is "bacterial SSU rRNA". It matches the Rfam family "Bacterial small subunit ribosomal RNA", at positions 33 to 931 of the family's 1533-position model. The record is from RNAcentral. Lineage: Bacteria; Pseudomonadati; Bacteroidota; Flavobacteriia; Flavobacteriales; Flavobacteriaceae.
UUGCUAGCGGCAGGCUUACACAUGCAAGUCGAGGGGUAGAUGCAGCUUGCUGCAUUGAGACCGGCGCACGGGUGCGUAACGCGUAUGCAAUCUGCCUUGUACUGGGGGAUAGCCCAGAGAAAUUUGGAUUAAUACCCCAUGGUAUUUUGGUGUGGCAUCACACUAUUAUUAAAGAUUUAUCGGUACAAGAUGAGCAUGCGUCCCAUUAGUUAGUUGGUAAGGUAACGGCUUACCAAGACGAUGAUGGGUAGGGGUCCUGAGAGGGAGAUCCCCCACACUGGUACUGAGACACGGACCAGACUCCUACGGGAGGCAGCAGUGAGGAAUAUUGGUCAAUGGGCGCAAGCCUGAACCAGCCAUGCCGCGUGCAGGAUGACUGCCCUAUGGGUUGUAAACUGCUUUUAUACGGGAAGAAACCCCUCCACGUGUGGAGGAUUGACGGUACCGUAAGAAUAAGGAUCGGCUAACUCCGUGCCAGCAGCCGCGGUAAUACGGAGGAUCCAAGCGUUAUCCGGAAUCAUUGGGUUUAAAGGGUCCGUAGGCGGGUCUGUAAGUCAGUGGUGAAAUCUCCCGGCUCAACCGGGAAACUGCCAUUGAUACUGCAGGUCUUGAAUGUUUGUGAAGUAACUAGAAUAUGUAGUGUAGCGGUGAAAUGCUUAGAUAUUACAUGGAAUACCGAUUGCGAAGGCAGGUUACUAACAAAUGAUUGACGCUGAUGGACGAAAGCGUGGGGAGCGAACAGGAUUAGAUACCCUGGUAGUCCACGCCGUAAACGAUGGAUACUAGCUGUCGGACCGUAAGGGUUCGGUGGCUAAGCGAAAGUGAUAAGUAUCCCACCUGGGGAGUACGGCCGCAAGGCUGAAACUCAAAUGAAUUGACGGAAGGCGAAUUCUGCA